This 285-nucleotide ribosomal RNA is filed under the name uncultured Thermus sp. RNAcentral describes it as "partial 16S ribosomal RNA". It matches the Rfam family "Bacterial small subunit ribosomal RNA", at positions 1096 to 1382 of the family's 1533-position model. The record is from RNAcentral. Lineage: Bacteria; Thermotogati; Deinococcota; Deinococci; Thermales; Thermaceae.
GCGCAACCCCCGCCGUUAGUUGCCAGCGGUUCGGCCGGGCACUCUAACGGGACUGCCCGCGAAAGCGGGAGGAAGGAGGGGACGACGUCUGGUCAGCAUGGCCUUACGGCCUGGGCGACACACGUGCUACAAUGCCCACUACAAAGCGAUGCCACCCGGCAACGGGGAGCUAAUCGCAAAAAGGUGGGCCCAGUUCGGAUUGGGGUCUGCAACCCGACCCCAUGAAGCCGGAAUCGCUAGUAAUCGCGGAUCAGCCAUGCCGCGGUGAAUACGUUCCCGGGCCUU